RNAcentral lists this ribosomal RNA (253 nucleotides) under uncultured bacterium. RNAcentral's name for it is "partial 16S ribosomal RNA". It matches the Rfam family "Bacterial small subunit ribosomal RNA", at positions 524 to 776 of the family's 1533-position model. The record is from RNAcentral.
UACAGAGGUCUCAAGCGUUGUUCGGAUUCAUUGGGCGUAAAGGGUGCGUAGGCGGUAGGGUAAGUCGGAUGUGAAAUCCCGGGGCUCAACCCCGGAACUGCAUUCGAUACUGCUUUACUUGAGGACUGGAGAGGAGAUUGGAAUUCACGGUGUAGCAGUGAAAUGCGUAGAUAUCGUGAGGAAGACCAGUGGCGAAGGCGAAUCUCUGGACAGAUCCUGACGCUGAGGCACGAAGGCUAGGGGAGCAAACGGG